AAAGUCGUAACAAGGUUUCCGUAGGUGAACCUGCGGAAGGAUCAUUACUGAAUGACCUGGGUCAAUGACUCAGCAGCCCAUCAUCAGAAUUCGAUGCAAAUCCAAUGACUCGUCUCUUUGCCCCCAAUAUCCGGCAGCUCAUCAUCAUCAUCACCUUGGUGGAGUGAGCCGGGCUGCCCUUGAUCAGGAUGCUCAUUGCCCAGGCUGAAAUGCCCGUGCAGUUGGGUGGUGCGUGUUCAAGAGGUUGAAGUUGGUUUGAGAUUGAAGAGGGUUUAGAUGUCGGAUGCUGUUGUUUGUGGGCAGACAUUUGGUCUCCUAGGUACUUUUUUCACCACACAAAAAAUGUCAUCGUAUGGUGUUGCGCUUCAACACAUAUAAUAUAUAACUUUCAACAACGGAUCUCUUGGCUCUC
Molecule: unclassified non-coding RNA, 412 nt
Filed under: Basidiomycota sp.
Lineage: Eukaryota; Fungi; Basidiomycota
Description: partial contains small subunit ribosomal RNA, internal transcribed spacer 1, and 5.8S ribosomal RNA
Rfam family: Eukaryotic small subunit ribosomal RNA (bases 1-47)
Source: RNAcentral